This 493-nucleotide ribosomal RNA is filed under the name uncultured bacterium. RNAcentral's name for it is "partial 16S ribosomal RNA". It matches the Rfam family "Bacterial small subunit ribosomal RNA", at positions 28 to 506 of the family's 1533-position model. The record is from RNAcentral.
GACGAACGCUGGCGGCGUGCUUAACACAUGCAAGUCGAACGGUGAAGCGCCUUCCUUUUUGGUGGGUGUGGAUGAGUGGCGAACGGGUGAGUAACACGUGAGUAACCUGCCCCCUUCUUCUGGAUAACCGCAUGAAAGUGUGGCUAAUACGGGAUAUUCUGGGUCUGCCGCAUGAUGGGUCUGGGAAAGAUAUUGUUUCGGUGGGGGAUGGGCUCGCGGCCUAUCAGCUUGUUGGUGGGGUGAUGGCCUACCAAGGCGGUGACGGGUAGCCGGCCUGAGAGGGUGGACGGUCACACUGGGACUGAGACACGGCCCAGACUCCUACGGGAGGCAGCAGUGGGGAAUAUUGCACAAUGGGCGCAAGCCUGAUGCAGCGACGCCGCGUGAGGGAUGGAGGCCUUCGGGUGGUGAACCUCUUUCGCCAGUGAAGCAGGCCUGCCUCGUUUGUGGGUGGGUUGACGGUAGCUGGAUAAGAAGCGCCGGCUAACUACGU